GACCCGGUAGUGAAGGCUCGGAGAAAGGCAGGCUGGGUCCGCCUGGCAGCCUACCGGAGAAGGCGGGUAGCAAGCCGAGGCAAAGGGAGACAGAAGAGCGGCUGGCCGAGGGGAGGGGAGAAUGGACAGGAAGGACUGGAGGAGAAGGGAGCCCUGGCAGCCUCUGGCCCGGGCGUCCUCGGCCCCUUCUCCGGGCUCCGAAGUGCUUACAACCUGGCUUCUUCCUGCUGCCCCAGGCUCCAGAAGAAGGAGGGAGAGAGCAUCCAAGAGCAUCUGCAGCCUGGGCAGGGCAAGUCCUCUGGCGUGAGAUUUCUGCGGGGAGAAUGCGUCCGGACUUGGUGCGGAGGGAGUUGACUGCAAGUGAAAGCGGAUCAUUAAGUAAUGGAAGUGAACAGCAUCUGAAACUACAUUCUGACCAUUAUUUGACUAUAUGAUAGUCAACACGGCACUGGAAUGACUGUGUCUGAUGGCCUUUCCAUUUGCAUCCUUUCUUGUACUUUUGAUCCCUGUGAGUGGAUUCUAUCACUAAGCACAUCAUGUACGAAGGCCACUGUGGGCAUUAGCAAAUGAAGUUAAAGGAGCUUAUAAAGUAAUAAAGACAAGUACUGUAUGUAUUGGAUAGGUGCCAAUAGCUAAAGUCUAUCAUAAAGCAAACUGCUUAAAAUGACCUCAGAUACAAAAGACCAAACAACCAUGGGGCAUUACCUCAAUUGCUUCUUAGAUGCUUGCUGAUGUGUUAAGAGUUCCUGUGAAGAAAACCCCGGGUAACUGAAGGAUCAGCACGGGUAUAAGUGAUCUGCCAAAUGACUCAUGGUUAAUCACCAUUAGCAAGUGUAAGUGAACAUCUGUGUGUAUGCUUACAUAUACCCAUCCAUAGAAACACACAAAUGAAAGACAACAGAAACAGAGAUUCUCCUUAUUCAAUUGAGAUAUAUAAUCAGUCAUUUGACAGCCAUCUAUUAGCUGUCUACUAUGUGUCUAGGCAUUGUGUUACAUACUACAUACACAAAGACAAAGUCACACAGCCCCUGCCAUCAAGGAGUUAUAUUACAUUUGGAGAUAAAUGUUGCAAAUAUAUGAAGAGUAGGCAGUACUGGAAAAGAUAUAGGUCUGAUUGCAAAAAGGCAUGAGUUCAAGUCCAGGCUUUACUAUUAAUAAGUUAUGUGACCUUCAGCAUGUUAUUUCAAAUCCCCGGUUCUCAGUUUCAUCAUAUAUAAAACAAUGGAGCUGAACUAGAUGACCUAAAAUUCAGUGAUUCUGUGGCAGCCAGAAGAUAAUAGGUAUAUCCAAUCUGGAAAAGCUAGUGAGUCUCCAACAUAAUCUUGAAGACAAGAAGAAACAAGGAUUGGAUGAUGGGUCGGUGGUCACGCUUCAAUCAAUCAGAGUUGUCCUAACUCAGUGAAUGUACUGAGGAUCUUAAGGGAUGCUGCAGAAAGGACUCUUUAUAUCUAAAAAUAAGCAUAAGUAUCUGAUAUCUUUUGAACCUGUUAUCAUUUCUUUGGGGUAUAAUAUUCUACGCCAGAAGUACUUACUAAGAUGUAACUUCCUUGUAAAAUACUAAGUUAAUAUUGGCCAAUCAAACCUUAUUUUGAAUUGUCUAACAACUAGCAAGUCUUGAGGUAAUGGGAAACAAAUUUAGAUGAGGAAAAAAGAGGACAGAACUAGAGCAAGGUCUACUUCUUUUUAAAAAGAAGGUCCUAUAUAGAUAUACCUGGUCCCUCAGGGGCAGCCGGAGGGAAUAAGUACCUGAAAUAGAGAUGGGUGCAUCUUUGGGAGGGGGAGGAAGGACAAAGGAACAGAAAGGGGAGGUAGAGGGCAAACUUUGUCUUUGCAAUCUGUGUACUAAAAUUUCUUUUUAUUUUAAGAUUAGUAUGUAAGGCAGCCUUUGUUGGCAAAUAUUUAAAUAAUUUUUUAGUGUAAUGGGAAGGAGUGUGUUUUCCUAGAUUGAGUGUUUGACUUGGAGUCAGGAAGACCUGCAUUCCAUCCUGCCUCAGUCGCUUACUUAUUAGUAAUUAGUAAUUAGUGAUCGUAGACAAGUCCCUAACCCUUCUGAUACUUAGUUUCUUCAUCUGUAAAAUAAGGGAGUUGGACUCAGUGAUCUCCAAGGUCUCCUCCAGCUCUACAUUUAUGAUUCUAUGACUAGGAUUCAGAAAGAGAAAUAGUAGGCCCCGGUUCUCUGUACAUAAUAGGCACUUAAUUGAUGAAAUGAACUUAAAAAAAAUGUAGUGGAGAGAACACCGAAACCAAUUGUGAUGCUCCCUAGCCAAGGCCAGUUAUAAAACCUCUCUGAAUCUCAGGUUUUUUUUUUUUGUAAAAUGGGAAUAGUACUUGAACUACCUGCCUCACAAGUUCGUGAGGAAAUACUCAAAUGAUCUGUGACGUCAUUAAUAUGGAUGUUUCCUCCAACAAUGGAGACGGAAACCUAUCCAUGCCUAUUCACCCUGUGCAGCUCUUGCACCUUUCUUCCCGUAAGUUCACCACAAGAGGUCCACCCAUAGUGAUGGGACCCUCCCUUGCUUUCUCUAGAAAAUUCAAGGAUACCUGUGGGAGUCUCGGAGGCUUUCCAUUGGGUCUCAUUCAUUUUCCACUAGUUACCAAAUAUCUUCUUUGUGGUCAUAUAUUUCAUUUUAUGGUGUCAUUUGCUUCAGCUCUAUUUUGUAAUAUUUAUGUUGUAUGUGCUUUUGCAUGCUCAUACCAAACCUCUACAUGAAGUUGAAUUAUAACAGCUCAUGGAUUAGCUAAAUAACAUAUGAUUAUAUAGUAUAUAGCUCAUUUAAUUCUUGACAAAAAAACUAAAGAACUUUUUUAUCAAUUGUAACAUAGUAUUGGUAAAAUAACUUUUUUUAAAAACAAUGUGGUCCAUUGGUGGUUGAGAUAGCUGUCAAAAAUUCUUGACAUUAUUUAUACAUUUAAGAGUCUUCACCCCUUCACUUCACCCUCCAUCCCCUUUACCAAGGAAAAGUGGUCUUAUUUUUAUAUAUAGAUAUGUAUGCAUAUAGAUGUAUAGCUUGUACAUAAUAGAUACUUAAUGCUUGUUGUUGUUGUUUUUUUUUAACCAACAACCCCAGCUACAGUUUUGCCUCCUACAGGAAACCUUGAUGCUUUCUCCCUCUUUACAUUAUUUUGUGUAUACUCAUCCAUUUCCCAGUUGCAUCUUAACCUUCCCUCUCUAAUGUAAUAGAACCUCUUUGAGGGGGAGGAGCUAUCUUUUUUUUCUUUGUUACCCUAGGACUAGGCUUUACACAUUAUAGGUUCUUAAAUAAAUGCAUGUUAUAUAGAAAGGUCUUAUACUAAUAUGAUCAUAGGAUUUUUUUAAAGAGAGGAAAAACUGCCAUAUAUCAUUGACAAUGGAUUUUCAGUGAUUUUUUUGUAUUUUUGAAUGAAAAGAUGUAAAAGAUUGGGUUAGAAGGAAUCAAAAGGCAAUUAAAAUUCUAAAUACAAUAUCUGCAUAGUACUUCCAUAAUUAUUGUUCACUGACAUUAUGUAAGUUGGCACUAUUGUAAUUGAAGCUUUAUACAACUAUAUUGAAAUUACUGUAUUUGCAUUACAAAUCACAAUAUUAUUUAACAUUUAGUUUCUACAUUUUAUUUGAAACUAUAAGUAAGGGUCAACUUCAGGGUCUCUAAGAUUGCUAAAAAAGAGAAAAAAUGUGUAAAGGUUUGUAUAGUCCCGGAUUUUCAGUUUGAAAUGAAUGUUUAAGUGCAUUUUUAAAAAUACUUAUGAAAUAUAAUGUUCCAGAUGAUCCUUGAUUCAUUCUAAGGUUUUCUUUUAUUUUAAGUAUGAUCUUGUUCCCACUUGUCCUUUAAUUGCCAUUUACUUUGAUGAUGUACCUCCUAUACUUCUGUUGCAAAGCUAUUCAGUACGAAACUGUAUUAAGGUAUGAUAAGGAGAACAACUUGGAGGUCAAAACCUUCCCUGUUGACAAAGACAGUGCGGGAAAUGCUGUAAAAAUACAUUUUAUAAAAUCUCUUAAAGUACACAUUUGCAAGAGAGCUGCUUAGAAAGUAUAACAGCUUGAGAGUGUGAUCAUUAUAAACUCACAAAUGAAUGAAUGUCUUAUGAAAAAGUGGUGUUAGGCUAGGCUUUAGACACUGUUGGGCCCAUGUAAAAUUAUGGAAGAUGUGAAGUUUGCUUUCAUCCCCCCUCUACUUUUCGAUACUUAGUAGUUUUGAUUCCCCCUUUCAGAUACCUAGUGCCUUCAUAAUCUUCCUCCACCUACUCAUCAAAACAUUUUCUGAUGAUAGCCUGUGGAAUUGAGCCAUUUAUGUUCUAAUAGGAAUUAAUUUGGUUCUGUAUUACCUUUCCAUAUAUUUUAAUCCAGAAACGAUCUUCUGUUAAAGUAAUUUCAGUUAUCACCCACUAAACUGGGAAACAUUUAUUUGUUUUGUUUUAUUUCUUAGUCAGAAAUCUAUCUUUAUACCAAGUAAGCUUGUUCCUAAACCAGCCCUGACCUGUGCAGAAAUAUCCAUAGCAAAUAGCCCUCCUAUAUUUUCCUUCUUCAUAAGACUUCCCCUCCUCAUUUUUCUUUAUCCACCAAAGCUCGUCUUUUUAUGUACCUGACUAAACCAACCUAUGUUAAUAUAAUUGUGACAAUGAUAGUGGCUCAGUGUCUUGCCCCUAUGUGGUAAUAUAUUUUCAUUGUAGUAUUUUUUUUCUUGAGUCAGGACCUUUCUCCAAAUGGGCUCUUUGAAUGGUGAAGGUUUAAAGUUUUGUAGUAGGCUGAUGGAACAAAUAUUUUGUAUGUCUGUAUUUCCCCCUUGUCCACUCCCAUCAAAUCGCACCAUAAAAUGCAUACCAAGUGGGGUUGUCAAAUGAGCUGGCACUUAUAAGUAUCCUAUUCCCAAAAUACCACAUGAGUACCACCAUCUCCUUUCUCAAAAGCUUAAAGAACUCUGUUUCUACAGCCAGAUCAAAAAAUGUAUGGGUUUAUAUAAAUUGAUUAGAGAGAGGAACUCCUGGGCCAUACGAAGAGCUAGCCAAAAACAAAAUGAUAACAGUGGUGGAGUAACAAAGGGGUUUUUGAACCAACCUUCCUAGGCCUAGAAGAUGAGUUCCUAGACAAUGCUAAAUUCCAAGACCAACCAGGGUCUGGACCUGAGUUUUAGUAAAAGCUUUGAAGGACAAACAUGUAUCUUGCCCUUCAUUGGUAUUAUGAAUUAUGUAGCCUGUAGAGGGAAAGGGUAUUGAACUUUUAAGUUUGGGUGGAGAUGCUAUUAUAAUACCAUAUGUCUGGGACAAUAUCUAGGUCCCUGAGGUAUGUGGAUCUCCUUGUGAAAGGAAACAAGUGUUUUUACUGUUAAUGUGCUUGUAAGUCCUUUGUGUUUUCUGCAAAAUGAAAUAAAGCCUGUUAUAUAUUCCA
Long non-coding RNA from Trichosurus vulpecula (common brushtail), 5359 nucleotides. RefSeq lists it as uncharacterized. The record is from RefSeq and is a predicted model, not a curated record. Lineage: Eukaryota; Metazoa; Chordata; Mammalia; Diprotodontia; Phalangeridae. The transcript has 2 exons.